GCAGAGGGAAGUAGUCACACAAAGUUUGAGGCUGGCUGGGAGAAGGCAUCAAAGUCUUGGGCAGAAGCUCAAGAGGGUGUGGCUGAUUAGGCACUUAUUAGCUUCUGGGGCAGAGGAUCUGUUAAGCAAAUUUGCUACUAGAGCUUUCAUGGGUAUCUCUGGAUUACGACCUUGGUCUGAGUGACUGACUUAAGAUGUUUGCUUGCUGAAUUUAACAGUGGUUGCUGAUAAUUAACUAACUCUGAGGUUUCUAGAGUCAGGUUUCAAUGGGCAGAGAAAGGGCAGCCAGUUGUCGCCCUGACAAUCUACGUAAAGCAACCUAACAAUGAGAGUAUUUACCGGGAGUCCCUGUGGUUGUGUAGCCCAGCCUGCAAUGAUCUCAGUGGGAAAGAAAAUCCUCAUUUCAAAAUCCAGACAAAGCACCAGAAAGGAACAUGCUAAGCUGCAGCCAGAAAAACAAAAUGAUGCAGGAGGCUUCAAGACCACGUGGGUGAAGUGGAUGAAGACAUCUUCAAAACAGGGCCCACUUUAAUUUCUAAUUAAUUUUCUUAUUGCAUCCAAUCACAGGGUGACCUCAAAUGCUGUAAACCUGAUUGCUUGACUGUAAUAGAGCCGUUGUUAUAAAAAGAAAAAUAGCACCCUGCAGUUCAAUGUCCUUUAACGGAAAAUGAAGGAGGGAAAAGAAGAAUGGAUUUUAAGAUAGGAAAAGGAAAGGAGGAACAGUGAUGGAAAGAUUGGGGUGAGGAGGGGGACAGGAACUUCCCCAUCCCCAUGGAGAGGUGGUUCUUUCUCACAUCUACUGUUCUAUACAUGUUGCAGAUAUUACAUCUUCACUGUAGGGCCCAGACAUCUUUGAUAGGCCCUAAGGAAAGCCACGCCUUCCCCUGCCAAGGCAUCUAAAGGAGGCAGAAGUGACCUACAGAUCAAGGUGGUUUCCUUUUGCACUGACUUAGGGGUAAGCAUGCAUGCAAGCAGACAGGACAGGACAGGACAGGACAGGACACAACCUGACACAAUAUGACACAACAUGACACGACACCACAGCACAGCACAACACAACAAAACACAACACAGUACUUAAAAAGUUCAAUAGAAGACUCACUCAUCAAGUGAGUCAGCUGUGCUUCCUGCUUUUGCCCUUCUGGUCUUUGGAGGAGAAAAAAGUUCUGUCUAUAAAGUGAAAUAAUAUGUGGAGUAGCUUCUGUUUCAGCUGAAAAUAGUCAGGAUUUUAGACAAAGAGUUAUAUAACAUGAAACUGGAUUGUAGUCACUAGGAUUAGAGGCUAUUCACAGCUAUUUAUUUUAAAACUGAUCCCUUACUCAAUGCUGCUGGAGACAUUGUGUAAAGGUCAUAGAUAGGCUACAAACCCAUUGCUUCAUCUUGUC
RNAcentral lists this long non-coding RNA (1385 nucleotides) under Salvator merianae (Argentine black and white tegu). Its description in RNAcentral is "lncRNA (ENSSMRG00000013901.1)". The record is from RNAcentral. Lineage: Eukaryota; Metazoa; Chordata; Lepidosauria; Squamata; Teiidae.